RNAcentral lists this transfer RNA (62 nucleotides) under Salix viminalis (osier). The record is from RNAcentral. Lineage: Eukaryota; Viridiplantae; Streptophyta; Magnoliopsida; Malpighiales; Salicaceae.
GUCACGAUUAGAAUAAAGAAGUCGCUGGUCCAGAGGUGUUGGUUCAAAUCCAGCUCUUGACA